This 274-nucleotide ribosomal RNA is filed under the name unidentified marine bacterioplankton. RNAcentral describes it as "partial 16S ribosomal RNA". It matches the Rfam family "Bacterial small subunit ribosomal RNA", at positions 62 to 339 of the family's 1533-position model. The record is from RNAcentral.
UCGAGCGAUGAAGCACCUUCGGGUGUGAAUUAGCGGCGAACGGGUGAGGAACACGUGAAGAAUCUGCCUUCAACUCUGGGAUAACUGCGGGAAACUGUAGCUAAUACCGGAUACGACACCUUGGGGCAUCCCGAGGUGUGGAAAGAAUUUCGGUCAAGGAUGAGCUCGCGGCCUAUCAGCUUGUUGGUGAGGUAAAAGCUCACCAAGGCGACGACGGGUAGCCGGCCUGAGAGGGUGACCGGCCACACUGGAACUGAGAUACGGUCCAGACUCC